This 72-nucleotide transfer RNA is filed under the name Camelus bactrianus (Bactrian camel). It matches the Rfam family "tRNA". From Rfam's summary of the family: Transfer RNA (tRNA) molecules are approximately 80 nucleotides in length. Their secondary structure includes four short double-helical elements and three loops (D, anti-codon, and T loops). Lineage: Eukaryota; Metazoa; Chordata; Mammalia; Artiodactyla; Camelidae. RNAcentral also lists the same sequence under 2 other names. The record is from Rfam by way of RNAcentral.
GGAGGUACAGCUUAGUGGUAGAGAGUCUGCCUAGCAUGCAUGAGGUCUUAGGUUCAACCCCCAGUACCUCCA